CCCUUAGACGUUCUGGGCCGCACGCGCGCUACACUGACGAAGGCAACGAGCUUUCCUUUACCGAAAGGUACGGGUAAUCUUUUGAAACUUCGUCGUGCUGGGGAUAGAUCCUUGCAAUUUUUGAUCUUAAACGAGGAAUGCCUAGUAAGCGCAAGUCAUCAACUUGCGUUGAUUACGUCCAUGCCCUUUGUACACACCGCCCGUCGCUACUACCGAUUGAAUGGUUUAGUGAGGCCUUCGGAUCCGCGACUCGUUUGUGGAGAAGUUGGACAAACUCAGUCAUUUAGAGGAAGUAAAAGUCGUAACA
Molecule: ribosomal RNA, 307 nt
Filed under: uncultured eukaryote
Lineage: Eukaryota
Description: partial 18S ribosomal RNA
Rfam family: Eukaryotic small subunit ribosomal RNA
Source: RNAcentral